RNAcentral lists this ribosomal RNA (490 nucleotides) under uncultured bacterium. RNAcentral's name for it is "partial 16S ribosomal RNA". It matches the Rfam family "Bacterial small subunit ribosomal RNA", at positions 28 to 507 of the family's 1533-position model. The record is from RNAcentral.
GAUGAACGCUAGCUACAGGCUUAACACAUGCAAGUCGAGGGGCAGCAUGGUCUUAGCUUGCUAAGGCCGAUGGCGACCGGCGCACGGGUGAGUAACACGUAUCCAACCUGCCGUCUACUCUUGGACAGCCUUCUGAAAGGAAGAUUAAUACAAGAUGGCAUCAUGAGUUCACAUGUUCACAUGAUUAAAGGUAUUCCGGUAGACGAUGGGGAUGCGUUCCAUUAGAUAGUAGGCGGGGUAACGGCCCACCUAGUCUUCUAUGGAUAGGGGUUCUGAGAGGAAGGUCCCCCACAUUGGAACUGAGACACGGUCCAAACUCCUACGGGAGGCAGCAGUGAGGAAUAUUGGUCAAUGGGCGAGAGCCUGAACCAGCCAAGUAGCGUGAAGGAUGACUGCCCUAUGGGUUGUAAACUUCUUUUAUAAAGGAAUAAAGUCGGGUAUGUAUACCCGUUUGCAUGUACUUUAUGAAUAAGGAUCGGCUAACUCCGUG